GACGAACGCUGGCGGCGUGCUUAACACAUGCAAGUCGAACGGAAAGACCCUGCUUUUGUGGCUUUCUCGAGUGGCGAACGGGUGAGUAACACGUGAGUAACCUGCCCUUGACUGUGGGGUAACUUCAGGAAACUGGGGCUCAUACCGGGUAGGAUCUCCUGCUGCAUGGGGUGGGAUGGAAAGUUUCGGCGGUUGUGGAUGGACUCGCGGGUUAUCAGCUUGUUGGGGUGGUAGUGGCUUACAAAGCGUUUGACGGGUAGCCGGCCUGAGAGGGGGACCGGGGACAUGGGGACUGCGAGACGGCGCAGUCGGCAACGGGCGGCAGCAGGGGAGAAUAUGGCGGAAUGGGGGGAAGUCUGUUGUAGCAGCGCCGCGUGCGGGAUGAUGGCCUUCGGGUUGUAAACCGCUGUGGCAGGUGAUGAAGCGGGAUUGACGGUAAUGGGUAAAGAAGCACCGGCUAACUACGUG
RNAcentral lists this ribosomal RNA (468 nucleotides) under uncultured bacterium. RNAcentral describes it as "partial 16S ribosomal RNA". It matches the Rfam family "Bacterial small subunit ribosomal RNA", at positions 28 to 507 of the family's 1533-position model. The record is from RNAcentral.